GCUACUUCACUUCUUGGCUUGAAGCGCCUUUUCACUUUGUUGGCUAAAAGUGGAAGAUGUCCGAGUGCUCCCCCGAGAGGAUGCUUUGAGAUUGGCUUGAGGCUCCGCUUCCUUCUAUUCAGAUUCCCUGCGAUGCCUCGUAUCAGAGACACUUUUCGUUUUCAGUUCAUUGUCUUUUUCUCGAGUUUAGGGGAGAACUAAAGCAGGUGAUCACUCUAAAUAGCGUAAAUAGAGUGUUUGGUGGAUCCCCAACCCCUCUUUGAAAUUCGAAGGAGAUCAAAAGUAUGCUUAUGAAGACGUAGGUAGAUUUGGCCAUAAAUAGGGAAAGAAAGAACCAUACUCGCUCGAACUUUUACCAUUGUACAGAAGCCAACCAAAAGGAGUUUAUACAUCUUGGGAAAGAGCACGCUACAAAGCGAAACUGGGCCUCAACGGAAAGAUGACUCCUGAAGUUCAGCAGCGUGCUCGAUCGGCGACAGAAUAAGGAAGUUUCCCCUGAUCAAGAAAGAAGGUCAGCGACUAGUCGUAUUGUCAUCAGAUGAAUGACUAGCCUUGGAAG
Molecule: long non-coding RNA, 559 nt
Filed under: Trifolium pratense (red clover)
Lineage: Eukaryota; Viridiplantae; Streptophyta; Magnoliopsida; Fabales; Fabaceae
Description: long non-coding RNA (TPRA_LNC010734)
Source: RNAcentral